CACCACAGAGCCCUCGGCCGAGCGGCCGCUAACACCGUCCCGCCUCGAGACCGUCACGGCGCCGCGACCCCGCGGAGACGGCCUCCGGGCGCCCGGCCGCUCGGGACGUCUCCCCCUGUCCCUCCUCGUCCCAGCGCGCCCGAGCCCGCCCCCGGUCCCACGGCCCCGCCGAGCUACCUGGAUCCGCUUCUUGUGUCGCCUGCGUUCCGCCAUGUUGGCCGCUCCGCCCGGUUCCUUCUGACGUGGAGCGAGUCGGGGAGGGGGGCUGCUGAGAUCUCGCGAGAGCGCGGCGGCUCGCGGCCCGUUAUGUAACCCGCCGCGGGCUCUGGGCUGGGGGCGGCCUCCGUGGUCUUCCCGCCGUUCGUGCGGUGGCGGACGACGGAGGCUGCUUCUGCUUCUGGUCCCGGAGGCCGGCGCCAAGUGA
This 424-nucleotide long non-coding RNA is filed under the name Mus caroli (Ryukyu mouse). Its description in RNAcentral is "RIKEN cDNA 4933429H19 gene (MGP_CAROLIEiJ_G0003341.1)". Lineage: Eukaryota; Metazoa; Chordata; Mammalia; Rodentia; Muridae. The record is from RNAcentral.